GCCGGCCCUCCUCCGAUCCACACCUUCACUCUAUCUCUCUCAAUCUAGUAGAAACUAGAAGAUCUAUUUCUACUUUACAUUGGUUGCUAAGCCUAAAAAGAAAUAUUAUUUAGAGAAGAGGUUUUCCUUCGAGGGCACCCCUCAAUCUCUAUGAUAAUUUCUUGUCCUCCUCCAGGGGCCAGGGGCCUUGCUUAUAUAGUCCUCCUCCUCUAUGCGUU
RNAcentral lists this long non-coding RNA (218 nucleotides) under Sorghum bicolor (sorghum). Its description in RNAcentral is "long non-coding RNA (SBIC_LNC004522)". Lineage: Eukaryota; Viridiplantae; Streptophyta; Magnoliopsida; Poales; Poaceae. The record is from RNAcentral.